GAAGAACCUUACCUGGGUUUGACAUGUACCGGAAACACCUAGAGAUAGGUGCCCCCUUGUGGUCGGUACACAGGUGGUGCAUGGCUGUUGUCAGCUCGUGUCGUGAGAUGUUGGGUUAAGUCCCGCAACGAGCGCAACCCUCGUCCUAUGUUGCCAGCGGGUAAUGCCGGGGACUCAUAGGAGACUGCCGGGGUCAACUCGGAGGAAGGUGGGGAUGACGUCAAGUCAUCAUGCCCCUUAUGUCCAGGGCUUCACGCAUGCUACAAUGGCCGGUACAAAGGGCUGCCAACCCGCAAGGGCGAGCGAAUCUCAAAAAGCCGGUCAGUUCGGAUUGGGGUCUGCAACUCGACCC
This 352-nucleotide ribosomal RNA is filed under the name uncultured Actinomycetes bacterium. RNAcentral describes it as "bacterial SSU rRNA". It matches the Rfam family "Bacterial small subunit ribosomal RNA", at positions 963 to 1318 of the family's 1533-position model. The record is from RNAcentral. Lineage: Bacteria; Bacillati; Actinomycetota; Actinomycetes.